GACGAACGCUGGCGGCGUGCUUAACACAUGCAAGUCGAACGGAAAGGCCCUGCUUUUGUGGGGUGCUCGAGUGGCGAACGGGUGAGUAACACGUGAGUAACCUGCCCUUGACUUUGGGAUAACUUCAGGAAACUGGGGCUAAUACCGGAUAGGAGCUCCUGCUGCAUGGUGGGGGUUGGAAAGUUUCGGCGGUUGGGGUUGGACUCGCGGCUUAUCAGCUUGUUGGUGGGGUAGUGGCUUACCAAGGCUUUGCCGGGUAGCCGGCCUGAGAGGGUGACCGGCCACAUUGGGACUGAGAUACGGCCCAGACUCCUACGGGAGGCAGCAGUGGGGAAUAUUGCACAAUGGGCGGAAGCCUGAUGCAGCAACGCCGCGUGCGGGAUGACGGCCUUCGGGUUGUAAACCGCUUUCGCCUGUGACGAAGCGUGAGUGACGGUAAUGGGUAAAGAAGCACCGGCUAACUACGUG
Molecule: ribosomal RNA, 468 nt
Filed under: uncultured bacterium
Lineage: Bacteria
Description: partial 16S ribosomal RNA
Rfam family: Bacterial small subunit ribosomal RNA
Source: RNAcentral